Molecule: transfer RNA, 75 nt
Filed under: Elusimicrobia bacterium CG06_land_8_20_14_3_00_38_11
Lineage: Bacteria; Pseudomonadati; Elusimicrobiota
Description: tRNA-Val
Rfam family: tRNA
About the family: Transfer RNA (tRNA) molecules are approximately 80 nucleotides in length. Their secondary structure includes four short double-helical elements and three loops (D, anti-codon, and T loops). Further hydrogen bonds mediate the characteristic L-shaped molecular structure. tRNAs have two regions of fundamental functional importance: the anti-codon, which is responsible for specific mRNA codon recognition, and the 3' end, to which the tRNAs corresponding amino acid is attached (by aminoacyl-tRNA synthetases). tRNAs cope with the degeneracy of the genetic code in two manners: having more than one tRNA (with a specific anti-codon) for a particular amino acid; and 'wobble' base-pairing, i.e. permitting non-standard base-pairing at the 3rd anti-codon position.
Source: RNAcentral
GGGCAAUUAGCUCAGCGGGAGAGCACUCCCCUCACACGGGAGGGGUCGCAGGUUCAAACCCUGCAUUGCCCACCA